Molecule: ribosomal RNA, 468 nt
Filed under: uncultured bacterium
Lineage: Bacteria
Description: partial 16S ribosomal RNA
Rfam family: Bacterial small subunit ribosomal RNA
Source: RNAcentral
GACGAACGCUGGCGGCGUGCUUAACACAUGCAAGUCGAACGGAAAGGCCCUGCUUUUGUGGGGUGCUCGAUUGGCGAACGGGUGAGUAACACGUGAGUAACCUGCCCUUGUCUUUGGGAUAACUUCAGGAGACUGGGGCUCAUACCGGAUAGAAGCUCCUGAUGCGUGGUGGGGGUUGGAGAGUUUCGGCGGUAGGGGAUGGACUCGCUGCUUAUCAGCUAGUUGGUGGGGUAGUCGCUUACCAAGGCUGUGACGGGUAGCCGGCCUGAGAGGGUGACCGGGGACAAGGGGACUGAGAUACGCCGCAGAAGCGUACGGGCGGCAGUAGGGGGGAACAUGGCACAACGGCGGCAAGUCUGAUACAGAAGUGCUGCGAGCGGGAUGCUGGGUUAUGGGUUGUAAACAGAUUUCGAAUGAGACGAAGAGUGAUUGACGGUAACGGGUAAAGAAGCACCGGCUAACUACGUG